RNAcentral lists this ribosomal RNA (225 nucleotides) under uncultured bacterium. RNAcentral's name for it is "partial 16S ribosomal RNA". It matches the Rfam family "Bacterial small subunit ribosomal RNA", at positions 111 to 334 of the family's 1533-position model. The record is from RNAcentral.
UAACGCGUGAGGAACCUGCCUCAAAGAGGGGGACAACAGUUGGAAGCGACUGCUAAUACCGCAUAAGCCCACAGCUCGGCAUCGAGCAGAGGGAAAAGGAGCAAUCCGCUUUGAGAUGGCCUCGCGUCCGAUUAGCUAGUUGGUGAGGUAACGGCCCACCAAGGCGACGAUCGGUAGCCGGACUGAGAGGUUGAACGGCCACAUUGGGACUGAGACACGGCCCAG